RNAcentral lists this ribosomal RNA (333 nucleotides) under uncultured bacterium. RNAcentral describes it as "partial 16S ribosomal RNA". It matches the Rfam family "Bacterial small subunit ribosomal RNA", at positions 338 to 669 of the family's 1533-position model. The record is from RNAcentral.
CCUACGUGUGGCAGCAGUGAGGAAUAUUGGUCAAUGGGCGGGAGCCUGAACCAGCCAAGCCGCGUGAGGGAAGAAGGUACAGCGUAUCGUCAACCUCUUUUGUCAGGGAACAAAGGCGGGGACUAGUCCCCGGAUGAGGGUACCUGCAGAAAAAGCAUCGGCUAACUCCGUGCAAGCCGCCGCGGUAAUACGGCGGAUGCGAGCGUUAUCCGGAUUUCUUGGGUUUAAUGGGUGCGCUGGCGGCCUGUUAAGUCAGCGGUAAGAGCCCGGGGCUCACCCCCGGCGAGCCGUUGAAACUGGCGGGCUGGAGUUGGAGAGAAGUACGCGGAAUGC